RNAcentral lists this ribosomal RNA (425 nucleotides) under uncultured prokaryote. RNAcentral describes it as "bacterial SSU rRNA". It matches the Rfam family "Bacterial small subunit ribosomal RNA", at positions 355 to 796 of the family's 1533-position model. The record is from RNAcentral.
CAGGGAAUCUUGCGCAAUGGGCGAAAGCCUGACGCAGCGACGCCGCGUGGGGGAUGAAGGCCUUCGGGUUGUAAACCCCUUUCAGGAGGGAAGAAAUUGACGGUACCUCCAAAAGAAGGACCGGCCAACUACGUGCCAGCAGCCGCGGUAAUACGUAGGGUCCUAGCGUUAUCCGGAAUCAUUGGGCGUAAAGAGCUCGUAGGCGGUUCAGCAAGUCGGCUGUGAAAGUCCGAGGCUCAACCUCGGAAUUGCAGUCGAUACUGCUGUGACUCGAAUUCGGUAGAGGAGAAUGGAAUUCCACGUGUAGCGGUGAAAUGCGCAGAUAUGUGGAGGAACACCAGUAGCGAAGGCGGUUCUCUGGGCCGAUAUUGACGCUGAGGAGCGAAAGCGUGGGGAGCAAACAGGAUUAGAUACCCCCGUAGUCC